GGAUGUGAGGGUGAUCUGGUUGCGACAUCUGUCACCCCAUUGGUCACCAGGGUUGAUUCAGCUUAUCUGGCUGGCUAGGCAGGUGUCCCCUUCCUCCCUCACUGCUCCAUGUGCAUUCCUCCCAAAGCUGCGUGCUCGGUGGAAUAGUAUGACCAUCCCUGAGAGAGGAGGACUGGUCUUUGGUCAAGGAUAUAUGAGUAGCUGCGCUCCCCUGCUAGAACCUCCAAACAAGCUCUCAAGAAUAAGGCAUGUUAAAAUGAAUAUGACAUAGAUCUGUCAUAAGGAAGCUCAUAGUCCAGUUGUAAAUAAUUAUAACAAUAAUG
Bos taurus (domestic cattle) is the source of this 323-nucleotide non-coding RNA. NCBI's taxonomy places the organism in Eukaryota, Metazoa, Chordata, Mammalia, Artiodactyla, Bovidae. The record is from Rfam.